CGGUGGGUACGCCGUCGUCGGCGGCGCCGUCGGUGUCACCGGCGCCCCGGCGGCGGCGCCGACGACGGCGGCGGGUCAUCCCGUCCCCACCCUC
RNAcentral lists this transfer RNA (94 nucleotides) under Micromonospora phaseoli. RNAcentral's name for it is "tRNA-Asp". Lineage: Bacteria; Bacillati; Actinomycetota; Actinomycetes; Micromonosporales; Micromonosporaceae. The record is from RNAcentral.